GUCCCGUUCGUCUAGAGGCCUAGGACACCGCCCUUUCACGGCGGUAACACGGGUUCGAAUCCCGUACGGGGCACCA
This 76-nucleotide transfer RNA is filed under the name Acetobacter fallax. RNAcentral describes it as "tRNA-Glu". It matches the Rfam family "tRNA". Rfam says of the family: Transfer RNA (tRNA) molecules are approximately 80 nucleotides in length. Their secondary structure includes four short double-helical elements and three loops (D, anti-codon, and T loops). Further hydrogen bonds mediate the characteristic L-shaped molecular structure. tRNAs have two regions of fundamental functional importance: the anti-codon, which is responsible for specific mRNA codon recognition, and the 3' end, to which the tRNAs corresponding amino acid is attached (by aminoacyl-tRNA synthetases). tRNAs cope with the degeneracy of the genetic code in two manners: having more than one tRNA (with a specific anti-codon) for a particular amino acid; and 'wobble' base-pairing, i.e. permitting non-standard base-pairing at the 3rd anti-codon position. Lineage: Bacteria; Pseudomonadati; Pseudomonadota; Alphaproteobacteria; Acetobacterales; Acetobacteraceae. The record is from RNAcentral.